UCAUAAGCGGAGGAAAAGAAACCAACUGGGAUUACCUUAGUAACGGCGAGUGAAGCGGUAAAAGCUCAAAUUUGAAAUCUGGUACUUUCAGUGCCCGAGUUGUAAUUUGUAGAAUUUGUCUUUGAUUAGGUCCUUGUCUAUGUUCCUUGGAACAGGACGUCAUAGAGGGUGAGAAUCCCGUUUGGCGAGGAUACCUUUUCUCUGUAAGACUUUUUCGAAGAGUCGAGUUGUUUGGGAAUGCAGCUCAAAGUGGGUGGUAAAUUCCAUCUAAAGCUAAAUAUUGGCGAGAGACCGAUAGCGAACAAGUACAGUGAUGGAAAGAUGAAAAGAACUUUGAAAAGAGAGUGAAAAAGUACGUGAAAUUGUUGAAAGGGAAGGGCAUUUGAUCAGACAUGGUGUUUUUUGCAUGCACUCGCCUCUCGUGGGCUUGGGCCUCUCAAAAAUUUCACUGGGCCAACAUCAAUUCUGGCAGCAGGAUAAAUCAUUAAGAACGUAGCUACCUCGGUAGUGUUAUAGCUUUUUGGAAUACUGCUAGCUGGGAUUGAGGACUGCGCUUCGGCAAGGAUGUUGGCAUAAUGGUUAAAUGCCGCCCGUCUUGAACACCGG
RNAcentral lists this ribosomal RNA (606 nucleotides) under Hanseniaspora meyeri. RNAcentral's name for it is "LSU rRNA". It matches the Rfam family "Eukaryotic large subunit ribosomal RNA", at positions 44 to 664 of the family's 3401-position model. Lineage: Eukaryota; Fungi; Ascomycota; Saccharomycetes; Saccharomycodales; Saccharomycodaceae. The record is from RNAcentral.